GGUAAGAUGGCUGAGUAGGCGUUAGGCUGUAAACCUUUUCACAGGGGUUUAAAUCCCCUUCUUAUCAAA
This 69-nucleotide transfer RNA is filed under the name Pelodiscus axenaria (Hunan softshell turtle). Its description in RNAcentral is "tRNA-Tyr". It matches the Rfam family "tRNA". From Rfam's summary of the family: Transfer RNA (tRNA) molecules are approximately 80 nucleotides in length. Their secondary structure includes four short double-helical elements and three loops (D, anti-codon, and T loops). The record is from RNAcentral. Lineage: Eukaryota; Metazoa; Chordata; Testudines; Trionychidae.